RNAcentral lists this transfer RNA (87 nucleotides) under Desulforamulus profundi. RNAcentral's name for it is "Desulfotomaculum profundi tRNA-Leu". It matches the Rfam family "tRNA". From Rfam's summary of the family: Transfer RNA (tRNA) molecules are approximately 80 nucleotides in length. Their secondary structure includes four short double-helical elements and three loops (D, anti-codon, and T loops). Lineage: Bacteria; Bacillati; Bacillota; Clostridia; Eubacteriales; Peptococcaceae. RNAcentral also lists the same sequence under 1 other name. The record is from RNAcentral.
GCCCGGGUGGCGGAACAGGCAGACGCACAGGACUUAAAAUCCUGCGGUGGCAACACCGUGCCGGUUCGACCCCGGCCCCGGGCACCA